UACGGAGGAUGCAAGCGUUAUCCGGAUUCAUUGGGUUUAAAGGGUGCGCAGGCGGAAUGAUAAGUCAGUGGUGAAAUCCUACAGCUCAACUGUAGAACUGCCAUUGAUACUGUCGUUCUUGAGUACACUUGGAGUGGGCGGAAUGUGUCAUGUAGCGGUGAAAUGCUUAGAUAUGACACAGAACACCGAUCGCGAAGGCAGCUCACUAAAUUGUAACUGACGCUCAGGCACGAAAGCGUGGGGAUCAAACAGGAUUAGAUACCCUGGUAGUCCACGCUGUAAACGAUGAUCACUCGAUGUUGGCGAUAUACUGUCAGCGUCUAAGCGAAAGCAUUAAGUGAUCCACCUGGGGAGUACGAUCGCAAGAUUGAA
RNAcentral lists this ribosomal RNA (372 nucleotides) under uncultured bacterium. Its description in RNAcentral is "bacterial SSU rRNA". It matches the Rfam family "Bacterial small subunit ribosomal RNA", at positions 524 to 898 of the family's 1533-position model. The record is from RNAcentral.